GAUGAACGCUGGCGGCGUGCCUAAUACAUGCAAGUCGAGCGAACAGAUGAGGAGCUUGCUCCUCUGACGUUAGCGGCGGACGGGUGAGUAACACGUGGAUAACCUACCUAUAAGACUGGGAUAACUUCGGGAAACCGGAGCUAAUACCGGAUAAUAUAUUGAACCGCAUGGUUCAAUAGUGAAAUACGGUUUUGCUGUCACUUAUAGAUGGAUCCGCGCCGCAUUAGCUAGUUGGUAAGGUAACGGCUUACCAAGGCAACGAUGCGUAGCCGACCGGAGAGGGUGAUCGGCCACACUGGAACUGAGACACGGUCCAGACUCCUACGGGAGGCAGCAGUAGGGAAUCUUCCGCAAUGGGCGAAAGCCUGACGGAGCAACGCCGCGUGAGUGAUGAAGGUCUUCGGAUCGUAAAACUCUGUUAUUAGGGAAGAACAAAUGUGUAAGUAAAUAUGCACGUCUUGACGGUACCUAAUCAGAAAGCCACGGCUAACUACGUG
RNAcentral lists this ribosomal RNA (497 nucleotides) under uncultured bacterium. RNAcentral describes it as "partial 16S ribosomal RNA". It matches the Rfam family "Bacterial small subunit ribosomal RNA", at positions 28 to 507 of the family's 1533-position model. The record is from RNAcentral.